GGCCUCGUAGCUCAGCUGGUGGAGCGCGCGCGUACCAAAGCGUGAUCGGCGUCCACGUAUGGGUUCGAAUCCCAUCGAGGCUA
RNAcentral lists this transfer RNA (83 nucleotides) under Echinostoma caproni. It matches the Rfam family "tRNA". Rfam says of the family: Transfer RNA (tRNA) molecules are approximately 80 nucleotides in length. Their secondary structure includes four short double-helical elements and three loops (D, anti-codon, and T loops). Further hydrogen bonds mediate the characteristic L-shaped molecular structure. tRNAs have two regions of fundamental functional importance: the anti-codon, which is responsible for specific mRNA codon recognition, and the 3' end, to which the tRNAs corresponding amino acid is attached (by aminoacyl-tRNA synthetases). tRNAs cope with the degeneracy of the genetic code in two manners: having more than one tRNA (with a specific anti-codon) for a particular amino acid; and 'wobble' base-pairing, i.e. permitting non-standard base-pairing at the 3rd anti-codon position. The record is from Rfam by way of RNAcentral. Lineage: Eukaryota; Metazoa; Platyhelminthes; Trematoda; Plagiorchiida; Echinostomatidae.